ACAAUCAGCGGAACAGUUUUUGAAUAAAUAUUUACAAGGCAUACCGGAAUGUGAUAGAACAUUAAAAUCAAAAAUUCUAAUGGGUAAAAAUUACAACAGCAAAACUUAAAAAUAAUUGGACCAAAAAAUUAAAUUCACGCAAGCUUUCAAAUGAUAGCGGCUGAAAAGAUUUGGAAGUCACUAAUACAAGAUAAGAUACAGAAAGCCGUAGUCAUCAUAAAUUAAACAACACCACCUAUGCAAAACAAAUUUUGUAUAUCUAUAGUCUCUUGUAUCAGCUAAUAACAGUGUGACAGCAAAAUGAAGCGGAUCAAUUAAAACAGGAAAAAUAUAGCCUUUUUGGACGGUUCACAAAACUAGUUUUGCGUAGGUGGAUACUGAAAAGUUUCGAAGACAAGACGCGAUGGGGCUGACGGCGGCCGACGCGGCGGUGCGGAACUGCCGUUCAACGCGGCGCCCGGCAGACACACCCAGUUAACGCAUGCGCGUCCAUC
Achroia grisella is the source of this 494-nucleotide long non-coding RNA. RefSeq lists it as uncharacterized. The record is from RefSeq and is a predicted model, not a curated record. The transcript has 3 exons. Lineage: Eukaryota; Metazoa; Arthropoda; Insecta; Lepidoptera; Pyralidae.